AUAAUUAUCUAUGGAAGGACACGUUUUGAACUUUGGAGGUGCAAUGCGUAUGAUAUUCACUAUAAUUCCGUAUAUAUUUAUAUAUAUCAAAAUCUUUAUCUUAUGUACUAACUAAACUAAACUCUAAAUAUAAAUAAAAAUUAAUUAAAGUUCUAAUUCUUCUCCAACUCAAUCCAUUAUCUCCUCACAACUAACCUCAAACCCAUCCUUCCGCACCAUCGCAUACAACCUUGCCGCCGCUCUGAGCCUGCGGUCCAUCGUGCUUCACCGCUGCUCUUAGUCUUUUUCCGGUCGCCGCCUCCCCUCUUCGAAGGCCGUUUGAGGUUAGUUUUGAUUCUCGCUUCGUCUGUUAAUAAGCAUUAUUUUGGUAAAUGAAUUGGACGUGUUUAUAUUUAUUUUGAUUAGAAUUAUACUUAUAAUUAUUAUUAACAUUCCUUUUUGUUGUUUGUAACCAUUUGUCUUGUGAUGUUUGGUUCGAUCUGCAUGUUGUUUGUUGUAAUAUGAGCUGCUUCUUUUUUUAUUAGUGUUUUUGUUUUAUUUGCCACUGAAUUAUGUUAGUGAACUCUGUGUUAAGAUUUAGGGGCCGGGGUUUUAGCUUUCUACUACUUGAUCUUUCUUCAGCUUCAUCGUUCUCAUUAUGUCUUGUGUCUUCAGCAUCGGGCAUAUAUUCACUUUUUAGAAUGCAGUUCUUGGAGCCCAUCUCUGUUUUGUUGAGCAGUGCUUUAAUCAUGGCUAAUUAAAGAUUCGAUUUUUGGGAUUUUGAAGUCCUUGAUUUGCUGUCUUCUUGAAGAUAUUGCAAUCUACUUGAGUUUUUCUGUGAUGAGAGGAAACGUUCACUAUCUUGAUAUUUUUUGCUGUUAAGAUGGCUGCAUUAUGCGGAAGCUUUAUAAAUUGGAGUAGUUACAGUGCGAAAGAUUAAAAAAUAAACUUUUUUUCUUGCUAAUCUGAAUAUAUUUGUGGGAUGAAUAUGUUAGGCAUGGAAAAUUGUGUUCCUGGGUGCAUGUGAAAGGAAUUUUGAUCGUAUAUUUGUUAAUCCAUAAAGAAAGAAGUUCAAUUGAGUUUUGACAAGGAGAAUCUUGAAAUAAGAAAAUGGUGUCCUAGGAGAUCUUUUUUUUUUUUUCUCUCACGAGAAUCAUAGAUUCUGCUCCGAACAUAGAAAUGGUUGUAGAAUUUGGAACACUAGACCUUUUAUGAGCAGCUUAGAGCUCAAAGAAUUGGUUAUUAUAUUUCAUGAUGGAUGUGACAUUUAAUUAUUUAUUGUUGUCGCGUCACAGAAUAAAUAUUUAUUUGCAGAAUUUUGAAGUUUAUAUACUAACUAUGAGCAUGAAAGUUACAUUGCGCAAAACAAGCUCAUCUUCAGGUAUAUAUAUUAAUUGUCUAUAUUAUAAUUACCACAUGUCACACAACAUGAGCACAAAUCAAAAUAUUUUUUAAUUAAUAUAUUUAUAUUUAUAUAUUGCAGUUAAUGAGGUAUAUAGACAAAGAAGAAAUCUACAAAAGCAAAAGAAACGUAAACGAAAUGCAAGUGAUUUGAAAUGU
Molecule: long non-coding RNA, 1539 nt
Filed under: Salvia miltiorrhiza (redroot sage)
Lineage: Eukaryota; Viridiplantae; Streptophyta; Magnoliopsida; Lamiales; Lamiaceae
Description: long non-coding RNA (SMIL_LNC007047)
Source: RNAcentral